UUCCUCACACUUUGGUACUAUUGAGACAACCCUCUCAACCAAAGUGGACACACACAAGAGGUGAUUAGAGGAGUGGAAUAUCAAAGCAAACAACACUUCUUACUUGUACAAAUGACCAAGAAGAUUAGAAGAAGAAGUUGGAGAGCUUUUGAAGCUUUGGAAAGCUAGGACACUUGAGCACUUGGAAGCUUGGAAGCUUGAUGACAAAAACGUGUGGACAAGUGUGGAGUGGAAGCUCUUGAGUUUGCUUAUGGUGUGGUGAGUGGAAAUGAGGGGAUUACCCUUCUAUUUAUAGCCUUGGCCACUCAAUGUCCAUCCUUGGAUCUUCAAUGGAUGGCUCCUUGAUUUCUCACAUAAAUCCAAGAUUUGUCUUUGAAUAGUGUUUGCCUUGGAUAGUGUUUUGUCCCCUUGUCUUUGUUGGAGAAAUCUUAUCUUUGUAUAAAUUCAAACUUGAAUAGUGUUUUCUUUGUUAGAGAAUUUUACCGUUGUAGGAGAAUUCUUUUCUUUGUAUAAAUUCAAACUUGAAUAGUGUUUUGUCUCUUUGUCUUUGUUGGAGAAUCUUAUCUUUGUAAAUUCAAACUUGAAUAGUGUUUUGUCUCCUUGGAAUAUUAUCCCUUGAAUAAAGUGUCACAAGAUAAUAAUAAUAAUAUGCAAGGUAAAAUGCAAUUAUUCCAAAUAAUAAUAUUCAAGGUGAAAGUGCAAUUCUCCCAAUUAAUAAUAUUCAAGAUGAAAAUGCAAUUCUCCCAAUUAAUAAUAUUCAAGAUGAAAAUGCAAUUCUCCCAAUUAAUAAUAUUCAAGAUGAAAAUGCAAUUCUCCCACUUUGACUUUUAACUUUGACUUAAACCCUUAACUCAAAUGAUUAAUGAAUUAACU
RNAcentral lists this long non-coding RNA (873 nucleotides) under Zostera marina. RNAcentral describes it as "long non-coding RNA (ZMAR_LNC005912)". The record is from RNAcentral. Lineage: Eukaryota; Viridiplantae; Streptophyta; Magnoliopsida; Alismatales; Zosteraceae.